Electrophorus electricus (electric eel) is the source of this 1321-nucleotide long non-coding RNA. NCBI's taxonomy places the organism in Eukaryota, Metazoa, Chordata, Actinopteri, Gymnotiformes, Gymnotidae. The record is from Ensembl.
GUCGAUUUCACUGAGUGUUGUAAGUGUUAAUUAAACUCUGGUGCUCUAUUUUUGUUAGCAGUUCAUCUGAGGACAGACAGGUGUCGAAGAGGAAGAGGAAGAGUAGCAGAAAUGAUACCCCGCCCCUCACAAAGAGCCGAAAGAAACGCAGUGCAUCAUCCAGCUCCGCUCACAGGUAUUGAGGCCAAAUGCCAUCGGCCAUAAAAGGUUGGAUUGUCAUGUGAUUGUACGUCAGAUUAUCUGAUAGUGCUGCACGGCGUAAUCAAAGAAAGAUCUGGUGUCAGUUCUCCCAGCAUAAGAGUUUUACUUUGCUUUGUCUUCAGUGACUCUCCUGCUCCACCCAAGGAGAGGCAACAGAAUCGGCCAGUGACUAGGCCAGAGGAGAGCCGGAAGGGCAGGUCACCAGGUCGCAGGGGUCAUGGCCGACACGACGAGAGCCCAGACAGGAGGGAAGGUAGAGAGAGGUCUCCGAGACAUUCCAGGUCCCUUGAACGAAAUAAGCGAGACAGGGAGAAGGAAAGGGAGAGAGAAAAAGAAAAAGCCGCGAGAGGACGGCAUGACUCCUUGUCUCCGUCUCCACCCCCGAAACAGCAGAGGGACAGGAGGCCACGGAGCGAGGAGCAAGAGAAGGCACCUCCCAGGAGAAGGCAUGACUCCUCCUCUCACUCUCCUUCUCCCAGACAGCAGAAGGAAGGGAAGCAGAGGAGCACAGAGAAGGAGCGUGAGGAGGAGAGGAGGAAGACGGACCGGCAGCAAAGACGACACGACUCCUCAUCAUCGCCGUCACCACAGAAAGACAGAGCUUGGAGAGGACGGAGCAGCGAGAAGGAGAAAAGGCCUUCACCGACCGCACAUUUGGACAGGGCCAGGGACGGAGGGCGAGACAGGGACAGGCAGAGGGACAGGGGAGGGGUCCCCACUAGUCGGAAAGACGACCGGGGAAGAGGGAGUGAUAAAGUCAGGGAGAGGGAAGGAGCCGGAACUAGUGACUCUGCGUCCCCCGCACGGUGCUCGCCGCCCUCAAGGCCCAAGCAGAAAGAAACAGAGCGCAACAGGGACCGAGAGGAGCAGAGGGAGAGGGAGGAGGCACGCCGACGAGAGGACAAGAGGAGGAAAGAACGAGACUCGGGGAGGGAAGAGGCGUCUGGCUCGGGCAGGCAGCCUUCAAACGGGAAGCACUCGGAGGAGAGACCGUUGGGGAGGGACGGAGAAAUAGACAGGAGGACCGAGCGUGACAAGGUCCCAGUGGAGAGAAACGACAAGGGGGUGAGGGAUGGGGAGGAGAGGCUGGGAAGAGCGCGGGACCAGAGCCUGCAGGAGG